This 442-nucleotide ribosomal RNA is filed under the name uncultured bacterium. Its description in RNAcentral is "partial 16S ribosomal RNA". It matches the Rfam family "Bacterial small subunit ribosomal RNA", at positions 338 to 795 of the family's 1533-position model. The record is from RNAcentral.
CCUACGGGAGGCUGCAGUGGGGGAUAUUGGACAAUGGGGGGAACCCUGAUCCAGCGACGCCGCGUGAGUGAAGAAGUAUUUCGGUAUGUAAAGCUCUGUCAGCAGGGAAGAAAGAAAUGACGGUACCUGACCAAGAAGCCCCGGCUAACUACGUGCCAGCAGCCGCGGUAAUACGUAGGGGGCAAGCGUUAUCCGGAAUUACUGGGUGUAAAGGGAGCGUAGACGGUUAAGUAAGUCAGCGGUAAAAUUGCGGGGCUCAACCCCGUCGAGCCGUUGAAACUGGCAGACUUGAGUUGGCGAGAAGUACGCGGAAUGCGCGGUGUAGCGGUGAAAUGCAUAGAUAUCGCGCAGAACUCCGAUUGCGAAGGCAGCGUACCGGCGCCAGACUGACGCUGAGGCACGAAAGCGUGGGGAUCGAACAGGAUUAGAUACCCCAGUAGUC